GCAGUAGAAGUAUUCUGCCUGACUCUGGUCGGACUUAGAUUUCUUGGUCUGACUGGACUUGGGUGCCCCAGCACUUUGCACCCUUUUUUUGUUCUUCUUGUUCUUCUUUCCUUUCUUAAAGGAUCGACAUCUAGAAAAAGACCCUCCAAUAAUAUUCACUGACUUCUUUUAAAGUUGGUGAUCCUUCUCAAAGUUUUACAGCAACCCUAACAAAUCGUGGUAGUUAACUACAGACUU
RNAcentral lists this long non-coding RNA (237 nucleotides) under Elaeis guineensis (African oil palm). Its description in RNAcentral is "long non-coding RNA (EGUI_LNC074502)". Lineage: Eukaryota; Viridiplantae; Streptophyta; Magnoliopsida; Arecales; Arecaceae. The record is from RNAcentral.